UACGUAGGGUGCAAGCGUUAAUCGGAAUUACUGGGCGUAAAGCGUGCGCAGGCGGUUUUGUAAGUCUGUCGUGAAAUCCCCGGGCUCAACCUGGGAACUGCAUUUGUGACUGCAUCGCUGGAGUACGGCAGAGGGGGAUGGAAUUCCGCGUGUAGCAGUGAAAUGCGUAGAUAUGCGGAGGAACACCGAUGGCGAAGGCAAUCCCCUGGGCCUGUACUGACGCUCAUGCGCGAAAGCGUGGGGAGCAAACAGG
This 253-nucleotide ribosomal RNA is filed under the name uncultured bacterium. RNAcentral's name for it is "partial 16S ribosomal RNA". It matches the Rfam family "Bacterial small subunit ribosomal RNA", at positions 524 to 776 of the family's 1533-position model. The record is from RNAcentral.